RNAcentral lists this long non-coding RNA (1126 nucleotides) under Anser brachyrhynchus (Pink-footed goose). Its description in RNAcentral is "lncRNA (ENSABRG00000015226.1)". The record is from RNAcentral. Lineage: Eukaryota; Metazoa; Chordata; Aves; Anseriformes; Anatidae.
CCCAGCCAAGAUUUGAAGACAAAAACAAAUUACAACAAAUAAGCUUCCCUCUGAUCACUUCCCUAACACGCAUAGGAAAUACCUCUGCCACUUCAGGGUGGCCACAGUGCUUGGCAGUGUGAGGUAUCUCUGCUCUCUCUGCUUGCACUGCAGGUAAGACAUGUCCAAAAGUCACAAAAUCUCCAAAUCCCCAUGUGGCUGGUGGUGUCGGGCAGCUGCGGGUCCCUGUGGUGCCAGCCCUGCUCCAGCAGGGCCACCCCGAGCAGGGGGCCCAGCCCCACGUCCAGGCGGCUGCUGGAGAUCCCCAAGGAGGAGCCCCCAGCCCCUCUCUGGGCAGCUUGUUCCAAUGCUCAUUCACCCACACAUUAAAGAAAUAUUUCCUGAAUAUUUUCCUCGGAAGGCCACUUCUCUCUGACUUGGACCAUGGCAUGAAAGUGUGCCCAAGGGCUUUGAAUUGGUGGAUUUGGACCUUUGCUGUGAGCUGUUCUGCAGUCUCACCACGCAAACUUGGGGUCUUUGUUGAGCUGCUUGCUGCCAUGGACCAGACUGGAAAGGAGCAUCAACCAAAGGACACAUCUAUCAGCAGCAGCCUGCAUGGGAAGACUGGAAGGGCGUGCAGUACUUCUGAGAGUUGUCCUGCUGACGAGGACAGGAUGGGUGAGGGCCAGGUUUUCUGACAUCAGUGUUAGUACAUCGAAUCUCCAAGGAAAUCUGAAACUCUGCAAGAACCUGGAGCUAUUUUUCAUCAGCUGCAGUACAGCGAAGGCAACCCAGCGUGAUGCUUGGCGGUAUUGUACUGUUGGAAACACCAGUUUCGCCUUAGGAUGUAAAAAUCAGAGUGUAGACCACAUCUGAUCAUUAAGCAUGGUAUGGAAUAUAGGAAGUCUUGGCGUGCCAUAAGGGAACAAGUCCAUCUCAUUGUGGGGAUCCAUCCCAUCUAACUUCAGGAAUGAGAUUAACCUCAAAUAACUGUGUUUUUGGUGUAGAUAUUUAUCCCUCAUUUGAGCAUUCAGGCUUUCAUGAGAGUAAAUGGAGAUCUAGUUAGUACAGAGAACAAAGAAUAACAAUGAAUGAAGUACAUUAAGUAGACAAUAAAUAAUACAUACAAAAUCUGUAUCUCGUUGGC